This 326-nucleotide ribosomal RNA is filed under the name uncultured eukaryote. RNAcentral describes it as "partial 18S ribosomal RNA". It matches the Rfam family "Eukaryotic small subunit ribosomal RNA", at positions 1470 to 1796 of the family's 1831-position model. The record is from RNAcentral.
CCCUUAGAUGUUCUGGGCCGCACGCGCGCUACACUGAUGCAUUCAACAAGCCUAGCCUUGACCGAGAGGUCCGGGUAAUCUUUGAAACUGCAUCGUGAUGGGACUAGAUUAUUGCAAUUAUUAAUCUUCAACGAGGAAUGCCUAGUAAGCGUGAUUCAUCAAAUCGCGUUGAUUACGUCCCUGCCCUUUGUACACACCGCCCGUCGCUCCUACCGAUUGAAUGUGUUGGUGAGGAGCUCGGAUUGGCAGCAGUUGGUGGUUCGCCACCGGCUAUUGCUGAGAAGUCCUCCAAACCGCNCNAUUUAGNGGAAGGAGAANUCGUANCA